CGCCUUGCCAGCCCGCUCAGAAACUCAAAGGAAUUGACGGGGGCCCGCACAAGCGGUGGAGCAUGUGGUUUAAUUCGAUGAUACGCGAGGAACCUUACCUGGGCUCAAAUGUAUGUUGACGUUAUUCUGAAAGGGAUACUUCUUCGGACAAUAUACAAGGUGCUGCAUGGUUGUCGUCAGCUCGUGCCGUGAGGUGUCGGGUUAAGUCCCAUAACGAGCGCAACCCCUAUCAUUAGUUGCCAUCAGGUCAAGCUGGGGACUCUAAUGAAACUGCCUACGCAAGUAGUGAGGAAGGUGGGGAUGACGUCAAAUCAGCACGGCCCUUACGUCCAGGGCUACACACGUGCUACAAUGGCCGGUACAAAGGGCAGCUACCUGGUGACAGGAUGCUAAUCUCCAAAGUCGGUCUCAGUUCGGAUCGGAGUCUGCAACCCGACUCCGUGAAGUUGGAUUCGCUAGUAAUCGCGCAUCAGCCACGGCGCGGUGAAUACGUUCCCGGGCCUU
RNAcentral lists this ribosomal RNA (504 nucleotides) under uncultured Sphingobacteriales bacterium. RNAcentral describes it as "bacterial SSU rRNA". It matches the Rfam family "Bacterial small subunit ribosomal RNA", at positions 903 to 1382 of the family's 1533-position model. The record is from RNAcentral. Lineage: Bacteria; Pseudomonadati; Bacteroidota; Sphingobacteriia; Sphingobacteriales.